CAACCUGCCGCUUACUCGGGGAUAGCCUUUCNAAAGAAAGAUUAAUACCCGAUGGUAUAAAGAGUUCGCAUGUUCUCUUUAUUAAAGAAUUUCGGUAAGCGAUGGGGAUGCGUUCCAUUAGAUAGUUGGCGGGGUAACGGCCCACCAAGUCUACGAUGGAUAGGGGUUCUGAGAGGAAGGUCCCCCACAUUGGAACUGAGACACGGUCCAAACUCCUACGGGAGGCAGCAGUGAGGAAUAUUGGUCAAUGGACGAGAGUCUGAACCAGCCAAGUAGCGUGAAGGAUGACUGCCCUAUGGGUUGUAAACUUCUUUUAUAAGGGAAUAAAGUGAGGGACGUGUCCCUUUUUGUAUGUACCUUAUGAAUAAGGAUCGGCUAACUCCGUGCCAGCAGCCGCGGUAAUACGGAGGAUCCAAGCGUUAUCCGGAUUUAUUGGGUUUAAAGGGAGCGUAGGUUGACAUAUAAGUCAGCUGUGAAAGUUUACGGCUCAACCGCGAAAUUGCAGUUGAUACUGUAUGUCUUGAGUGUACAAGAGGUGGGCGGAAUUCGUGGUGUAGCGGUGAAAUGCUUAGAUAUCACGAAGAACUCCGAUUG
This 594-nucleotide ribosomal RNA is filed under the name uncultured Bacteroidota bacterium. RNAcentral's name for it is "bacterial SSU rRNA". It matches the Rfam family "Bacterial small subunit ribosomal RNA", at positions 122 to 715 of the family's 1533-position model. Lineage: Bacteria; Pseudomonadati; Bacteroidota. The record is from RNAcentral.